Non-coding RNA from Chlorocebus sabaeus (green monkey), 3658 nucleotides. Lineage: Eukaryota; Metazoa; Chordata; Mammalia; Primates; Cercopithecidae. The record is from the annotation of a RefSeq genome assembly.
ACAAGGAUGGAAGAGAUAGUGACACUGUGAUGUGAAGACACUUUCCAUCAUGAAAUUAUUAAUUGGUGUCAACAUAACGUGGGCUCCGACUAGCAGCUUUUCUACCACAAUGAUAAACAAUUUAUAUGGAAAAGAGAUGGCUCUGAUAAUUCUACACUCACAGGUCUUCACCUGAUAACCUUGACAUGUGUCCCCUAGGUUUUAGGAACUUGGAUUUCUCUAGGCUGAGUUGUACUACUCCCUUUCUCUGAACAUACAUAUCAUUGGUUAGUUCAUUCAUAUUGAUUCUCGGGGCUUCUCCAAUCCCUCAAGCCUUCCCACUCUACCAUUCAGACAAUGAGAAGCGUGUCAUAACUAAUGCUGCAUAAUUUUUUAAAAAACUGCUGGAUACUAACACUGCAAUUCAAUUGUAAAAUAUGAUAGAAGUGUAAGUGUUUAAGAUCCCAGAGGUUCUGUUCAAUUUUGCAUUUAUUGUUAGAUAUUCACCCUAAUAUUUUCAGGAGUUAGAGUGUUCUUCGCCCAUUUUGGUUACGGUAUCAGAACUUACUAUCAAUACAUUGGUGACCAAGAACUACAGGCAGAAUCGUAGUGAAGGCUUGAUACAUAACGCAUAAUGAAGAUUGAUAACAGUAAAAAGCGAACUGGUCAUUGGCCUUCAGAUAAAAUGAAACCUCCCAACUUUGUGCUGAGGGAAUUAUUUUACCCCUUUAGGUUAGAGUGUGUUGGCUGGUUCAAUGCAGUUCUAGGAUAAAGCUGUGUCAAUGACCCUAGAGGACUGGGAGCAUGGAGGACCUGGUAGAAAAGAAAUACCAAAAGAGAAGGAAAAUGCUUAGCAAAAUGCUAAAAUCAAGAGGUCACUAAUUGAUAUAUAUAUUUUGAGUUGCCUUUGAGACUUCCAAGUAGAAACAUCCAGCACAGGAUAGGCCUAGAGAUGUAGGGAGAGAUCUAAUCCCCCAAGCCCUGAACAUGUGAGUGAGGACGCUUGGAUGAACUUCCAGUCUAUGAAUACGUUAAACAAACUUUUAGCUGUGUUUUAGUUUACAACAAUUGUUUUCUAAGAACUUAGGCAUUUGUGGAGACAAUGAUGUCACUGUAGGAACUUCCGUGUAAGGACAGCUACAUCUCACUUCCUCUGCUCCUGCUCACAGUGACCCUGAUCUGGCAAAGCUCCCAUCCUGCCCUGACUUUGCCAUGGGCACCAGGCUCCUCUGCUGGGCGGCCCUCUGUCUCCUGGGGGCAGAACUCACAGAAGCUGGAGUGACCCAGUCUCCGAGAUAUAAGAUCACAGAGAAAAAACAGCCUGUGGCUUUUUGGUGCAAUCCUAUUUCUGGCCACAAUACCCUUUACUGGUACCGGCAGAACUUGGGACAGGGCCCGGAGCUUCUGGUUCGAUAUGAGAAUGAGGAAGCAGUAGAUGAUUCACAGUUGCCUAAGGAUCGAUUUUCUGCAGAGAGGCUCAAAGGAGUAGACUCCACUCUCAGGAUCCAGCCUGCAGAGCUUGGCGACUCAGCCGUGUAUCUCUGUGCCAGCAGCUUAGCCACAGCGGUGCAGAGACACUUCCCUCCUGUGCACAAAACUGCAGGACUCUCUCCUCUCUACUCAGCUCACAGCGGCCUUUCCUUAUUCCUCAUCCUCCCGGGGAAGAAGCGAGUUUUCAGAUAUAGCUAGGAUUCAUAUAGUGGGAGGAAAUGAACUAUUUCUUAAAACAUGAGCGCUAUAAUUGUUGUUUGAAAAUGUGUCUCAGGGAUUUGGAACACUUCUUGGGUACAACUGAAGAAACCUAAAGUGACUUAUCAGAGAUUGAGUCCUCAGGGGUAGUGAUAGUUUCUCUCCCAUAAAAGUAUGAGAUCAUGAAACAUGUACAAUAAACUUAGUAAUACAGAUAGUGAUUAUACCAGGCAGCAAACAGCAGGCUCCCCCUCUGUAGUUGUCAGCAUGUGAAUGACUUGUUAUCCUUGGUGACACCCUGGCUGUCUAGCAAAGUCUCAACACAUAGUAUGCGUUUGGAAAUCUUUUCCCUUCUGUUUUAUUUUUGUUAAAGUAUGUUAAUAAUGAUGUUGUUAAUGAUAGUGAUUAUCAUUUACGCUAUGUUAUUCAGCCCUUUUUCUAGUUCAAAGAAAUGCACACAAAUGGAUACCCCGGCAACCAGUCCCAAAUCUUAGCUCCAGAUGAUUUCUGCUUCUCCUGAACUUUCUAACUCUUCUAUGUAAUCAUCCUAGCCCAAGAGUAUAUCUAGACCUGGACCAGUCAGUUCAGAGGACAUUUCCACUUGUCUGCCUUAUAUAUUAAAGGUUCCUUGGUGGAUUAAAAUAUUCCUUGUAAGAACUUCUGAAGCAAUCAAUUGCCCUCUCUGAUAAUACACUCUGUGUGUCUAGCUCCAUAUUCACUACUCUUCUUCUGCCUAAACUAAGAUAAUUCUAGAAAUCUUUCUGAAGUAUUGGGUAGAAUUACUAAAAAGCAGCAUACUGGAAAUUGUCUGAAAGCAUUGUCACUGUCCAUUAGCCCCUCCUGACUUCCCUCCCCUCCUUAUCCAAUCUAAUUCCUGAUGGCAAGUCAGGCUUUAUGUCCAUUUGCUCAUUGUACAUCUCCCUUUCCUUUAUUCCUCUAAUAAAACCUCACCGAUGUGAUGGAUUAAAAUGACCACUCACUCACCAUCUCCUUGUCAAAAUUUCUAUUUUUUUCUUUUUCCAAUCUGCUAUGUUAUUUAUAGUUAAUAACUCCCUCGUAUUUUCUGAGAUCACUUUUUAUUAUUUGAACAUAGGACACACAGUUGUUUCAGAGUCUGUCUGAUCAUUUUCACCCGAAAUCUUCACAGGAUAUUUUUGUGAUUUUCUUUUUGUGCUGCUUCUCAGUUAUGGUGCUUGAGUUUUCAUGGCGUUUGUAUUUCUCCUUACCAAUCUGAUGAUGUUUGACACUGUGCCAAAUGCUAUAGCUGUAGAAAUAAUUUUUGGUGUAGGAUGGACCAUAUUUUUCUGCAGCAAUCAUUUUUCUGUGCUUCUGAAAGUGCAUGUAGGUAUAAACGAUCAGGCUCCCUGAAUCAGUUUAAGGCUUCAGGUGUCCUGGAGCAUCUGGAGAACAGGUUUGUCUCUGGCUUAUCGUUACUAUUGGAAUUUGGCAAUGACACAUUUGGUAUGUUCUGGUCUUUGCCUUUACCCCCCUGGCCUGUGAGUCAGCUUCCUGAGAGCUGAGUCAGGAUCUGCAAAUGCCCUCUAGGACAAAUGGACUGCUGUGCUCACUUCCCAGGGCUCUUGCCCUCACCAACAUUCCAGCCAAGUUAUUCCUUAUUUUUUUUUAGGACUUUAAUUAAUUGACAUUUUUAAUGUUGUUUUUGAUAUUUUUUCCAACUAUGUAGAUAACAAUAGAAACAGUGAGUGACAUUAUCCUUAAUUAUUGGGAUUAAGGUGAAAAUAACUUUACUUGGAAUUCUAAUUUUCCUUGAAUUUUAAUGUUAGAUUCUUUGUGAUGUGUCUGAUAUUUAACUUAAAUGGUAUAGAGAUAUUAAACUCUGAUAUCAAAUACUUUUUUUAAAAAACUUAAAGGCCAUUCAUAAUCCAGUUGAGACAUAUCUUUGUUUGGGGCAUGUUAUUACUAGAGUAUUCUUAUAUUGUUAUUUAUUUCUAUCACAUAACCUCUGUGUUCCAUUGGACCAUAUGGCAAG